This 376-nucleotide unclassified non-coding RNA is filed under the name fungal sp. RNAcentral describes it as "partial internal transcribed spacer region". The stretch from base 1 to 46 matches the Rfam family "Eukaryotic small subunit ribosomal RNA", at positions 1786 to 1831 of the family's 1831-position model. The record is from RNAcentral. Lineage: Eukaryota; Fungi.
AAGUCGUAACAAGGUUUCCGUAGGUGAACCUGCGGAAGGAUCAUUACAAAAUCCAAAACUAAAACACAAUCUUGUGCUCUUGAUUCUAUUAUCGCUCUCAAGAUAAAAAGAGAUCAGAGCGAGUGGAGUAUUUGAAUAUAAGGUCUUUGCGGUCGGUGCUCUCGUGGCCAUUAGACCGCAAACUCUUUCUUUCAGUACACCGAAGCUUGUUCUCCUCUUUUCUUGGGGCAUAAUAUGUCUUUUAUCUUUUUUACUUUAAAAAACUCCUUGUUGGCCGUCAAAGCCAACCACAGCAAAAAGGAAUAACAAUGUUACAACUUGAGAACAAAAAAAAUAAACAAAAUGACAACUUUUAACGGUGGAUCUCUUGGCUCGU